GAUGAAGAACGUAGCGAAAUGCGAUACGUAAUGUGAAUUGCAGAAUUCAGUGAAUCAUCGAAUCUUUGAACGCAUAUUGCGCUCUCUGGUAUUCCGGAGAGCAUGCUUGUUUGAGUAUCAGUAAACACCUCAACUCCCCUUUCUUUUUUUGAAAUGGGAGCUGGACUUGAGUGAUCCCAACGCUUUUCUCACCGAAAAGUGGCGGGUUACUUGAAAUGCAGGUGCAGCUGGACUUUUCUCUGAGCUAAAAGCAUAUCUAUUUAGUCUGCCUAAAAAACAGAUUAUUACCUUUGCUGCAGCUAACAUAAAGGAGAUUAGUUCUUGUGCUGACUGAUGCAGGAUUCACAGGGACAGCUUCGGCUGGCCUUUGUAAACUCGAUCUCAAAUCAAGUAAGACUACCCGCUGAACUUAAGCAUAUCAAUAAGCGGAGGA
This 433-nucleotide unclassified non-coding RNA is filed under the name soil metagenome. RNAcentral's name for it is "partial contains 5.8S ribosomal RNA, internal transcribed spacer 2, and large subunit ribosomal RNA". The stretch from base 1 to 120 matches the Rfam family "5.8S ribosomal RNA", at positions 35 to 154 of the family's 154-position model. The record is from RNAcentral.